This 466-nucleotide ribosomal RNA is filed under the name uncultured bacterium. RNAcentral describes it as "SSU rRNA". It matches the Rfam family "Bacterial small subunit ribosomal RNA", at positions 26 to 518 of the family's 1533-position model. The record is from RNAcentral.
AGGACGAACGCUGGCGGCGUGCCUAAGACAUGCAAGUCGAACGGUCCAAGCAAUUGGACAGUGGCGAACGGCGGAGUAAUACAUGAACAACGUGCCCCAAAGACUGGGAUAGUUACUGGAAACGGUGGGUAAUACCAGAUGUGGCGUCGGAAGGACAUCCUUCGGACAUUAAAAUGGUUUUUCGCUUUGGGAGCGGUUCAUGGCCUAUCAGGUAGUUGGUGAGGUAACGGCUCACCAAGCCGACGACGGGUAGCGGGUCUGAGAGGAUGAUCCGCUCGAGUGGGACUGAGACACGGCCCACACACCUACGGGUGGCAGCAGUUGGGAAUCUUGCACAAUGGGGGAAACCCUGAUGCAGCGACGCCGCGUGGAGGAUGAAGGGUCUAGGCCUGUAAACUCCUUUUAUCGGGAAAGCUUAGGACGGUACCGAUGAAUAAGCACCGGCUAACUACGUGCCAGCAGCCGC